GAAAGACAGACAGAGAGAGAGAGAGAGCAUACCCAUGUUGGACAUGGGUGUUUAUCGAACAAUUGUACCUGGGUCCAUUUUACCAAGCCAAGUACUGAUAUAACAUAAUAUUGAGCAAAAUAAACAGUGAAGUUAUAGGUCAUUACUUGGCAUAACAGUAAAAGUAUUGGGCUUGCCACCACAGGAAGCAAAUUCAAAUCUGUAGAGCAGUUACUCCAUGCAAAAAAGUUGUGGGGGUCUGUAUCCAAAGUUUCUCUACAAAAGUCCUAGGUUCAAUGAAGCAGCGAA
RNAcentral lists this unclassified non-coding RNA (288 nucleotides) under Hevea brasiliensis (rubber tree). Lineage: Eukaryota; Viridiplantae; Streptophyta; Magnoliopsida; Malpighiales; Euphorbiaceae. The record is from RNAcentral.